This 343-nucleotide ribosomal RNA is filed under the name uncultured Prevotella sp. Its description in RNAcentral is "bacterial SSU rRNA". It matches the Rfam family "Bacterial small subunit ribosomal RNA", at positions 355 to 694 of the family's 1533-position model. Lineage: Bacteria; Pseudomonadati; Bacteroidota; Bacteroidia; Bacteroidales; Prevotellaceae. The record is from RNAcentral.
CGAGGAAUAUUGGUCAAUGGGCGGAAGCCUGAACCAGCCAAGUAGCGUGCAGGACGACGGCCCUAUGGGUUGUAAACUGCUUUUAUGCGGGGAUAAAGUGGGCCACGUGUGGCCUUUUGCAGGUACCGCAUGAAUAAGGACCGGCUAAUUCCGUGCCAGCAGCCGCGGUAAUACGGAAGGUCCGGGCGUUAUCCGGAUUUAUUGGGUUUAAAGGGAGCGCAGGCCGCCGGGCAAGCGUGUUGUGAAAUGCAGUCGCUCAACGUCUGCACUGCAGCGCGAACUGCCCAGCUUGAGUGCGCGCAACCGUUGGCGGAAUUCGCCGUGUAGCGGUGAAAUGCUUAGA